GGCCUGGUAGUUUAGAGGUAUAAUACUUGCUUUGGGAUUUUUUCGCAAGUUUACGCGCGACUCCUUCUGCAAGAGGUCCAGGGUUCGAUUCCCUGCCAGGCCC
This is a non-coding RNA of Acaromyces ingoldii, 103 nucleotides long. Lineage: Eukaryota; Fungi; Basidiomycota; Exobasidiomycetes; Exobasidiales; Cryptobasidiaceae. The record is from the annotation of a RefSeq genome assembly.